GUGUCAGCCGCCGCGGUAAGACAGAGGGUGCAAACGUUGUUCGGAAUUACUGGGCGUAAAGCGUGUGUAGGUGGCCGCGCAAGUCGGAUGUGAAAGCCCUGGGCUCAACUCAGGAAGUGCACCCGAUACUGCGUGGCUCGAGUACCGGAGAGGUUGGUAGAAUUCUCGGUGUAGAGGUGAAAUUCGUAGAUAUCGAGAGGAAUACCUGUGGCGAAGGCGGCCAACUGGACGAGUACUGACACUGAGACACGAAAGCGUGGGGAGCAAACAGGAUUAGAAACCCUUGUAGUCC
RNAcentral lists this ribosomal RNA (292 nucleotides) under uncultured bacterium. RNAcentral describes it as "partial 16S ribosomal RNA". It matches the Rfam family "Bacterial small subunit ribosomal RNA", at positions 505 to 796 of the family's 1533-position model. The record is from RNAcentral.